RNAcentral lists this long non-coding RNA (1898 nucleotides) under Marmota monax (woodchuck). Lineage: Eukaryota; Metazoa; Chordata; Mammalia; Rodentia; Sciuridae. The record is from RNAcentral.
CUGGUGUCUGAUGAGCUUUUGUUUAUGUAUAAAAAAAUUCACAACUAUUUGCAUUCUUGUUAAUGAUCAAUUAAUCUUUAAACAAUUAACUUUCCUUUAAACAUUUACUGCCAAACUUCUACAGCUAAAAAUAGCCAAGUCACUGAUUUCACAAUUUUAGAUUUUUCCAAACAUUUGAACAUUGAUUGCAAGUUUAAUCAGUGGAAUUUUUACAAGUCUGGUAUGAGAUUCGCUUAAACAUCUUGAAUAGAAGGAGAACACCAAUCCCGUCUCAACACCAUAUCUCUAGUCUGAUAAGGAAUAUUCCCACUGGUGCCGAAAUGACCAGUUGAUCUGUUUCCUUCCAUUAAACUGGUGAUAAACGGACAGGUGUCAUGACUGAUAGGCUGCAUUCCUUCCACCAGGUAAGACUGGACUAAGUUUGGAGGUUGGAAAUCCAGACCUGGAACAUGAGCCCUGAGGUUCUGUCAUGAAGGUCUGUGUGCCCUGCAGAUUCAUAUGUUGAAAUCCUGACCCUCAGUGGGAUGACAUUAGGAGGGGGAGCCUUGGAGAGGGGGGUCAGUCAUGAGGGUGGAGUCCCCACCGAUGGGAUGAGUGACCUUAGCACCCCCAGCCCCUUCCACCACGUAAGAACACCAUAAGAAGCUGUCAUCUAUGUGAACUCAGAAGCGUCCCUUAUCAGGCAAUGAAUCUCCCACUACCUUGAUCUUGGAUUCCCCAGCCUCCAGCCUCCAAAACUGUGAGGGAUGAACGUUUGUGGAGUCACGCUGUCUGUAGUGGGUUGGUUAGUUGGUUUGCUGGUCCUAGGGAUUGAACUCAGGGGCACUCUGCCACUGAGCUAUAUCCCCAGCCCUUUUUAUUUUUCAUUUAGAGACACAGGGUACCCUAAAUUGCUCAGGGCCUCACUAAGUUGCUGAGGCUGGCUUUGAACUUGCAGUCCUCCCAAGCUGCUGGGAUUAGGCGUGCGCCUGUCAGAGUGUCUUAUAUUUAUAGUUCAGCCUGGAAAACCUGUUUGAGAGUCAUGACAUUUUAAUAGGCUGGGAUAUGGGAUCACUCAGCAACUGUUUGUUCUGAGAUCUAGUCUGAUAAACAAUCGAGAAAUUUCCUAUCAUACAUGGGAAGAAGCCAGAUUUCCCAAUUUUCCUCUUGUUCUGGUGACGCUGUGUGGUUGUGGGUUUUUUCAGUUUUGUUUCGUGUUUCUUACUGGGGGUUAAACCCAGGGGCACUCUGUCACUGAGCUACACCCCAUCCCUUUUUAUUUUUCAUUUUUGAGACAGGGUCUCACUAAGUUGCCCAGACUGGACUUGAAUUUGCCAUCCUCCUGAGUGGCUGGGAUUAUAGGUGUGCACCUGGUGGGUUGUCUUUUCAACCUGAAAGUCACCCUCCAGGUCUGAAGCUGGUGGGGGUGGGGGUGGGGACACUUCGCAUCUCUCAGUAGCCACUGGCUGCACGCUCCAACUUCUAGUGUCUUUAGCACCAGCCACUCCCCAGUCACCUCAGACAGAAGUGACAUUCUCCCAGUAGGUUCUGCUUUCUUGCAAGUGGGAGCACCUGCUGUCUGCAGCCCCUCUGGGAGGGCUGCGUGGUUUACACAUGCUGCCAUGUUUCCAUAGGAGAACUUUAUGUGUGUGCAUGGGGUGGAGGGGACGGGGUCCUGGGGGUGGAAACCAGGGCCUAUCACAUGCUCAGUGUUGCUCCUCCCUGAGCCACAUCCCAGCCCCAAAGCACUCAAAAAAUGUCGUAAUUGAUAAUAACCUGUACAACAGGUGGCAGAUAAUCUUAAUUUAAAAUGCCCUGAAAUCUCAGGAGACUAAAGAGAGGUGAUCCCAAGUUUGAGGCCAGCCCAAGCAAUUUAGCUAGACCCUGUCUCAAAAUGAAAAAAAAAAAAAUUAAAAGAU